CCCUUAGAUGUUCUGGGCGGCCCGCGCACUACACUGGCACUCUCAAUCAGAGCCUGGAUCUAACACUUUGGGGUAUUCUAUGAAGUGGUGUCGUGACUGGGAUUAACCCUUGCAAUUAUUGGUUACGAACGAGGAAUUCCUUGUAAUCGCGGUUUAUCAGCCCGCGUUGAAUGCGUCCCUGCCCUUUGUACACACCGCCCGUCGCUACUACCGAUUGAAUGGCUUAGUGAGGCUUCCGGAUUGGUUUAGAGAAGGGGGCAACUCCAUCUUGGAACCGAGAAGCUAGUCAAACUUGGUCAUUUAGAGGAAGUAAAAGUCGUAACA
This 324-nucleotide ribosomal RNA is filed under the name uncultured eukaryote. RNAcentral describes it as "partial 18S ribosomal RNA". It matches the Rfam family "Eukaryotic small subunit ribosomal RNA", at positions 1470 to 1796 of the family's 1831-position model. The record is from RNAcentral.